ACACUUACCUGGUAGGGGAGAUACCAUGGUCAUGAAGGUGGUUUCCCCAGGGCAAGGCUCAGCUAUUGCAUUCCAGAUAUGCUGGCCCCUACGACUUCUCCAAAUGUGGGAAACUGGAUAAUUUGUUGUCAUGGGGGGAUUGCAUUGGUGUUUUCCUGUG
Molecule: small nuclear RNA, 160 nt
Filed under: Moschus moschiferus (Siberian musk deer)
Lineage: Eukaryota; Metazoa; Chordata; Mammalia; Artiodactyla; Moschidae
Description: U1 spliceosomal RNA (ENSMMSG00000001326.1)
Rfam family: U1 spliceosomal RNA
About the family: U1 is a small nuclear RNA (snRNA) component of the spliceosome (involved in pre-mRNA splicing). Its 5' end forms complementary base pairs with the 5' splice junction, thus defining the 5' donor site of an intron.
Source: Rfam by way of RNAcentral